UACGGGGGGGGUAAGCGUUGUUCGGAAUUACUGGGCGUAAAGGGCUCGUAGGCGGCCAACUAAGUCAGACGUGAAAUCCCUCAGCUUAACCGGGGAACUGCGUCUGAUACUGGAUGGCUUGAGUUUGGGAGAGGGAUGCGGAAUUCCAGGUGUAGCGGUGAAAUGCGCAGAUAUCGGGAGGAACACCCGUAGCGAAGGCGGCACUCUGGGCCGGAACUGACGCUGAGGAGCGAAAGCGUGGGGAGCAAACAGG
RNAcentral lists this ribosomal RNA (253 nucleotides) under uncultured bacterium. Its description in RNAcentral is "partial 16S ribosomal RNA". It matches the Rfam family "Bacterial small subunit ribosomal RNA", at positions 524 to 776 of the family's 1533-position model. The record is from RNAcentral.